This 1046-nucleotide long non-coding RNA is filed under the name Homo sapiens (human). RNAcentral's name for it is "non-protein coding lnc-XIRP2-2:1". The record is from RNAcentral. Lineage: Eukaryota; Metazoa; Chordata; Mammalia; Primates; Hominidae.
GGGCCUUCUAGAACAAUAAUCUCAUAAGCAUUGGUGGCAGACGUAGGAAUGCAGAAACCAAAAGCUUCAUCAUCAUUUAACAACCUUCAUGUUGAUGGGAAGUGAUGAGAAAGUGAAACUUUGAUACACUUAGAGAAGGUGAUGAAGAAGAGGUGCCAUUUUGCUUUUUUCGCCAGCUUGCUUGCCUUUUUUUUUUUUUUUUUUUUUUUUGUGAUGGAGUUUUGCUCUUGGUUUCCAGGCUGGAGUGCAAUGUCACAAUCUCAGCUCACUGCAACCUCUGCCUCCUAGGUUCAAGUGAUUCUCCUGCCUCAGCCUCCCGAGUAGCUGGGAUUACAGGCAUGCGCCACCACGCCAGGGUAAUUUUGUAUUUUUAGUAGAGACAGGGUUUCUCCAUGUUGGUCAGGCUGGUCUCGAACUCCCAACCUCAGGUGAUCUGCCCGCCUUGGCCUUCCAAAGUGCUGGGAUUACAGGCGUGAGCCACCGUGAAUGGAAAUGGACUUUGAAUUCACAAAUCCAGAAAACUCUUUAAAGUGGGUAUGUUGAACUCCUAAUUGAUUUUUAUUAGUAUGAUUGGGGCAAAAUUUGUUUUUUUCUUUCUGAUUGUGUAUUAUUAAAUAGCAAAUGAAAGCAAAUAAAAAAUGUGUAUUAACUCAGUAUUUAAAAAUAUAUUAAUAUCACUUUAUAAUUUUAAAUAAUUUGGUAAUGUUUUAGCUAUAAUAAUACAUAAGAUGUUCAAUUGCAAUUCCUAGUGUUCAAAUCUCAAGUUUUCAGUUGCUUCCACUUAAGCUUUUAAAUAUGCUUUUUAAAAAAAUUUCUGAUUUUUGUUUAAAGUUUAAACUUAAAAGACAGCAACAAAACCAAGAUAAAAACAAUACAUUUUAUUUACAAAAGGGUGGGGACACAGCCAAACCAUAUCAGUGAUCAAAAAGGAAAAAAAAUUACAGUAUCUAUAUGUGCUGUAUGUUUCUGAGAGAAUCUAGUAAAGACAGCAUAGAAAGGGAUAUAAUCAAGAAAAGGACUUAAAAGAUUUCUGUAAAUAGAACAAU